This 75-nucleotide transfer RNA is filed under the name Sphaerodactylus townsendi. RNAcentral describes it as "tRNA-Ala". It matches the Rfam family "tRNA". From Rfam's summary of the family: Transfer RNA (tRNA) molecules are approximately 80 nucleotides in length. Their secondary structure includes four short double-helical elements and three loops (D, anti-codon, and T loops). The record is from RNAcentral. Lineage: Eukaryota; Metazoa; Chordata; Lepidosauria; Squamata; Sphaerodactylidae.
GGUGAGGCUGUGGCUCAGUGGUAGAGCAUCUGCUUGGCACGCAGAAAGUACCAGGUUCAAUCCCUGGCCUCUCUA